Parelaphostrongylus tenuis is the source of this 74-nucleotide non-coding RNA. NCBI's taxonomy places the organism in Eukaryota, Metazoa, Nematoda, Chromadorea, Rhabditida, Metastrongylidae. The record is from the annotation of a GenBank genome assembly.
GCCUCGGUGGUGUAGUGGUAGCAGCACGCCUCUCUGGUAUGGAUGGAAUGCGUGUUUGAAUCCUCCUUGAGGCU